RNAcentral lists this ribosomal RNA (440 nucleotides) under uncultured bacterium. Its description in RNAcentral is "partial 16S ribosomal RNA". It matches the Rfam family "Bacterial small subunit ribosomal RNA", at positions 338 to 795 of the family's 1533-position model. The record is from RNAcentral.
CCUACGGGUGGCAGCAGUAGGGAAUAUUGCUCAAUGGGGGAAACCCUGAAGCAGCAACGCCGCGUGGAGGAUGAAGGUUUUCGGAUUGUAAACUCCUUUUGUUAGAGAAGAUAAUGACGGUAUCUAACGAAUAAGCACCGUCUAACUCCGUGCCAGCAGCCGCGGUAAUACGGAGGGUGCAAGCGUUACUCGGAAUCACUGGGCGUAAAGAGCGCGUAGGCGGGAUAGCAAGUCAGAUGUGAAAUGCUAUGGCUUAACCAUAGAACUGCAUUUGAAACUGUUAUUCUAGAGUAUGGGAGAGGUAGGUGGAAUUCUUGGUGUAGGGGUAAAAUGCGUAGAGAUCAAGAGGAAUACUCAUUGCGAAGGCGACCUGCUAGAACAUAACUGACGCUGAUGCGCGAAAGCGUGGGGAGCAAACAGGAUUAGAUACCCCAGUAGUC